UUAAAACAAAGCAUUGCGAUGGUCCCUG
Molecule: small nuclear RNA, 28 nt
Filed under: Arabidopsis thaliana (thale cress)
Lineage: Eukaryota; Viridiplantae; Streptophyta; Magnoliopsida; Brassicales; Brassicaceae
Description: snRNA_01461
Source: RNAcentral